RNAcentral lists this ribosomal RNA (789 nucleotides) under Triticum aestivum (bread wheat). Its description in RNAcentral is "partial small subunit ribosomal RNA". Lineage: Eukaryota; Viridiplantae; Streptophyta; Magnoliopsida; Poales; Poaceae. The record is from RNAcentral.
AUGAAACGUGGAGGCGCUAGGGCUAGGUGCCUUAUUGAUGAUGAUUGUGGGCAUUGCUCGCAUUAUCUUUUAUUUUCUCUUUUAGCUCUAUGUCGGUCGAAUACAACAUCUGGUGACCAAUUUUACGGCAAGGUUGCACUAAGGGUGAUAUCAUCGCGCACGGUUCGUCAGGCCAUUCAGGCAAACAAUUGGGCAAGGGACAUCGGCCCCAACAUUGAUCUCCUCACCAUCAACGUGUACCUGUUGUUGCGUCCUACGAUGGGAAGAAAUCCGCAAGAGGAUUUGAGGGCGAUCAUAACGCUCACCAUGUGGGAGCUAUGGAAGCACCGACAUGUGGUCAUAUUCGAUGGAGUCACUCCUUUGACACAACACGCCAUUAGCAAUGUGGACCGCGAGGGCAGGGCGUGGAGGACGGUUGGCAUACUAAAACAGAAACUAGAGUUCUUCUUUGGUGCACUAGUUAGUUUUCCUUACGAUGAAUUGAGCACGACGACUCGUCACCAUCAAUAUCAUUUUGUGGCAUGGACCCUCCAAAACAUCGGGUACAUUAUUGGAGAUGAAUUGCCGCCCUUUGGGCCUAGAAGGCUGGGGCCGGUUACCCGACCGGCACUGGCAGCUGGCAGGGCUGUCCUAUUCAGCAUUCAACCAUUGGCAGCCAACUCGCCGAUCAAUCUAGCUAGAACGACCGAACCGACCGGAAGAGUCUUCCGUGUUCCAGAUCACCUGCCUGCCCUGCUCGUCAUCUUAAGCCCAGCGGGUUCAUCUCACCUGCUCACCAUAUACGACUAG